GCAUGCGCGGUCCCCGGGAGCCGCGUGGCGGUGCGCAGGGCGCGGGUCUCGGCGGCAGCGGGCGAGCGCCGGGACCGCGGUGUCACCUUCCGCGUCACACGAAGAAAAUCCCGCGUGGGUAAUUCCGCUUGCUGCUCAGGUAAUCGCACGUAUCGGGCUGGGGGAGCGGAGAGAAACACUUGCGAGUUCGAGGGCGCUACAGAUGCUCCACGUUAAACCCACAGAAAAGGCAAAUUUGCUGCUAGUGCAGAAAAGCUGAUGGAAAAAUUGCUGUUAACAGAUCGUGCCCUGUUCUUGCACUGGUCUCUUGAUACGUUUUUGUUUCAGGUGAAAGAACGAAAUUUUGUGUCUGGUAAAUUCAGAGCUGCCUGUUAGCUUCUUUAGGGUCGAGUGUUUCUCUUCGCUCUGUUCGUACGGAUUUUAUGGGCAAGUUGGAAACAGCCUUUUACUUUUUUAUGUGUAACUGAAUUUUUAGGAAUAUGUGGUGUCCCUGUAGUUCAUUUUUGAGCACCUAGAAGCCAGUAGAAAUGUCAUGAGUGAAACGUGAUGGAAACUGGUACUUAAACUUGAUUUCUAUUUCGAUUUUUUUUUUUUUUUUUUUUCUUCUUCCCCAUUGAGAGUGUUGAUGGCAUGUUGUCCCGUGGCACAAUCCCCAUUCCGUUCAGUGGAGUCUUCAGUCUAGGACUUUUAAGUAAAAAAGUUUGUCCUUCCAAAAAAG
This 718-nucleotide long non-coding RNA is filed under the name Aquila chrysaetos chrysaetos. Its description in RNAcentral is "lncRNA (ENSACCG00020013407.1)". The record is from RNAcentral. Lineage: Eukaryota; Metazoa; Chordata; Aves; Accipitriformes; Accipitridae.